UAUCCUACGGGACGCAGCAGUGGGGAAUAUUGCACAAUGGGGGAAACCCUGAUGCAGCGACGCCGCGUGAGUGAAGAAGUAUUUCGGUAUGUAAAGCUCUAUCAGCAGGGAAGAAAAUGACGGUACCUGACUAAGAAGCCCCGGCUAACUACGUGCCAGCAGCCGCGGUAAUACGUAGGGGGCAAGCGUUAUCCGGAUUUACUGGGUGUAAAGGGAGCGUAGACGGUGAUGCAAGUCAGAAGUGAAAGCCCGCGGCCCAACUGCGGGACUGCUUUGGAAACUGCCCGGCUAGAGUGCUGGAGAGG
This 305-nucleotide ribosomal RNA is filed under the name uncultured bacterium. RNAcentral describes it as "bacterial SSU rRNA". It matches the Rfam family "Bacterial small subunit ribosomal RNA", at positions 335 to 657 of the family's 1533-position model. The record is from RNAcentral.